Molecule: long non-coding RNA, 521 nt
Organism: Triticum aestivum (bread wheat)
Lineage: Eukaryota; Viridiplantae; Streptophyta; Magnoliopsida; Poales; Poaceae
Exons: 2
Source: RefSeq, a predicted model, not a curated record
UAGACACCCAACAAUUAUAUGUACCCAACGUAGACGCAAAUAAGAAGAGGGGUUUGUCGUACUCAAGCAAGAGGAUGAAUUGUUGUCUUUGGCAUGGGUGGGUACAAGUGUUGAUCCCUUCAAGGCACGGAGCAAAAAAGGCUCGGCUUUUUGGCAAAGUGUGCACGAUUGGUUUCAUGAGAAAAAGCAAUGUACCUCCACAACAAGGAAGUGAUUAAUGAUCGAAAUCCAAAGUCGCUAAGCACCGAUGAUACACCAUUCAAGAGAUCGUCAACAAGGUAUUGUAGUGUGUACACACAAAUGGAAAACUAGUGGCCAAGUAUGGCGUCACUUCUCGAGCUCCCCGGAUGCCGAAACCAACUUGGAAAUGGGAGAACAAAAGGAGAAAACGAGAAGGGCGGCGACCAAGAUGGCAGAGAAGUUUGAGGAUAUCAUGGUGAAGAAGGAGGAGGCAUGUGUCAAGCGCGGUGAGACCAGGAAGAAAAAAAAGAGUGAAGAGGUUUAGCUUGUUCAUGGAAAUC